GGUUGACCUCGGAUCAGGGAGG
This 22-nucleotide ribosomal RNA is filed under the name Pezicula subcarnea. RNAcentral describes it as "partial 28S ribosomal RNA". Lineage: Eukaryota; Fungi; Ascomycota; Leotiomycetes; Helotiales; Dermateaceae. The record is from RNAcentral.